AUGCUAUGUGUCUUUCUCUUUCUUGUUUUUCAUGCAGUCUUCCAUCGUCUUCCUCUAUUCCGACCCCAGGUGUGGCUUCAUGUGCUGGAACAUCGCUCCUGUCUGGAAGUGCUCCUGCACGUUGGUGAGGACUCCCUUCCGGCCCUCGGCUGGCCUUCAUCACCUCACACCUGGAUGACCGCAACAGCUGGCCUGCCUUGGGCUAGCCUUUCUCUGCUCCAGCCUCUCCAGCUGCCAGGACCCAUCUUCUGCAAAUACCUUUGGCAUCACAUCACUUCCCUGCUCAGACCUAUUAGAUCCUAGCUCCAUUCAUCUGGCUGGGAGCCAGCCAAUUGGCCUCCCAUUCUUCCUCUUCCCUCCUUUCAAGUUCACUCCCAUCCAGCCAGCCUCAUAGGUUGCUUUAAAUCUUCUGUUAGCCCCUCUGCUAGUUUGGGUGGUCUCCUUUCCACCUCCUCCCGCCCUCCCUCCAGAAUACUUCUGGUGACUUUGGGGGAGUCAUGCAAACUGUCGAGCUUCUCCAGCCUCUUUCUCAAUGCAUUUGCCUCCCCUGCCCGCAUCGCGGCUCCACCAUUCACCUGCUAGAGGCCUUCAGGCAAGUUGCUUCACCUCUCGGUGCCUCAGUGUUCUCAUUUUUUUCAUCCAUAAAAUGGGGAUCUUAAUGGUACAUCCUCAUCAGUUCGUGGAGAAGAUUAAAAGAGGUGAUAGUGGAGUUCCCAUUGUGGCGCAGUGGAAACAUAUCUGACUAGUCUCCAUGAGGACGCAGGUUCGAUUCCCUGGCCUCGCUCAGUGGGCUAAGGAUCUGGCAUUGCUGUGAGCUGUGGUGUAGGUCACAGACGCGACUCGGAUCCCCCGUUACUGUGGCUGUGACGUAGGCCGGUGGCUACAGCUCCAAUUUGACCCCUCACCUGGGAACUUCCAUAUGCUGCAGGUGUGGCCCUGAAAAGACAAAAAAAAAAAAAAAGGAGAUAGCUGUAAAAGGACCUAGAACAAUAUUCGGCACAAAGUAACUGCCAUGGACACAUCAGCUAUUAUUACUUUUUUUUUUUUGUCUUUUGUCUUUUUAGGGCUGUACCCAUGGCAUAUGGAAGUUCCCAGGCUAGGGGUCUAAUCGGAGCUGUAGCCUACACUAGAGUCACAGCAACGCCAGAUCUGAGCCGCGUCUGUGACCUACACCAGAGCUCACCACCAUGCCGGAUCCUUAACCCACUGAGUGAGCCCAGGGAUCGGACCCGCAACCUCAUGGUUCCUAGUUGGAUUCAUUAACCACUGAGCCACAAUGGGUACUCCAGCUAUUAUUACUUAACCAUUGUUAUUAUGGCGCCUUCUAGCCAGCUCUUCCCUGGACACCACUUCCACUUGGAAGAGCUAACUGGUGGAGCUGUCUGUCAAAAAAAAAAAAAAAAUGAGUCCAGGAAAAACAAAUUUCAUAAAUAGAUUCUGCUAAAUCUAAGACUGUUGAAGUCUUCCAAUUGGUGAAUAUUAUUUUAUUCACCAAGAGUGCGGAGCUGGUUCAUUGUUAAGUAUCUGAGACAACUUGAGGAACUGGGCUGUCUACAAAGCACUACUUACAUCCAUUAAUUUCUAACCAACCAGGAGGAGGGCAUGUGAGAUUUAAAAUCAGGAUUUUUCCGGGAUGAAUAGGAUGGUGUGGGGACAACGUCAAAACACCCUAAGGGACCAAUGCGUUGUGCAUGUUAUUUCCCAUGGUCUUUCUAGAAUCCUUCUCACUAUGCCCUAAGUCCCAAUGGCCCUGCUUCCACAUCUGCUCACUCCCUGUGUUCCUCCUUGGAGCCUAAUUGGAAUUGCUUUUCUCUCUGGGAGUUCCCAGCCUGAGAGCCCUGCACCUUGCACCUCUACCAUCAUUGCUGUAAAUAAUCUACCAUCUUCAUCUUUGUUCUUCUUUUCAAAUCCACCUCUAUGGUUUUGUGGCGAAUACAACGCAUUCCUUUAAAAUCGCUGGUGAAUUCACAGUCACUGUUUAUCAUUGUAUGUUCUCUUGCUCUCGCUCAAUGAAUUCGGUCCUACCUCAGAGAUACCAGGUUCGGUGCCAGACCAUGGCCAUAAAGUGAACAUCUCAACAAAACAAGUCACGUGACUUUUUUUGGGGCUUCCCAGUGCCUACCAAAGUUAUGCUUACCUUAUACUGUAGCCUAUUAGGUGUGCAAUAGCAUUAUGCCUGAGAAAACAAUGUACAGACCUUAUUUAGAAAAUACUUGGAAUUCCCGUCGUGGCUCAGCAGAAACGAAUCUCCCUAGCAUCCACGAGGACGCAGGUUUGAUCCCUGGCCUCGCUCAGUGGGUUAAGGAUCUGGCAUUGCCAUGAGCUGUGGUGUAGGUUGCAGACAGGGCUUGGAUCCCUAGUUGCUGUGACUGUGGUGUAGGAUGGCAGCUUUAACUCUGACUUGACUCCUAGUCUGGGAACCUCCAUGUGCCGAGAGUAUGACCCUUAAAAAAGACCCGAAAAAGAAAAAGAAAAUACUCGGAGUUCCCAUCGUGGCUCAGUGGUUAACGAAUCCGACUAGGAACCAUGAGGUUGUGGGUUCUAUCCCUGGCUUUGCUCAGUGGGUUAAGGAUCCGGCGUUGCCAUGAGCUGUGGUGUGGGUCGCAGACGCGGCUUGGAUCCCGUGUUGCUGUUGCUCUGGCAUAGGCCGACGGCUACAGCUCUGGACCCCUAGCCUGGGAACCUCCAUAUGCUGCAGGAGCAGCCCAAGAAAUGGCAAAAAGACAAAAAAAAAAAAAAAAGAAGAAGAAGAAGAAAAUACUCGAUUGUGAAAAAAUUCUAGCCUUCAUCAAGUUAUAACAUCAAAGAUGACUGAUCACAGGUCACCGUAACAAAUAUAACAAAUGAAGAAAUUUAAAAUAUUGAAAGAAAAACCACCAUGUGACACGGAGACACGAAGUGAGCAAAUGCUGUUGGGAAAAUGACACUGAUAGGUUUGUUCGAUGCAGAGGUAGCCAGAAAACUUUAAUUUGAAAACAAAAAGCACGGAGUAUCCAUGAAGCGCAAUAAAGCGAGGUAUAUCUGUACUAAAAGUUCA
This 3037-nucleotide long non-coding RNA is filed under the name Sus scrofa (pig). RNAcentral's name for it is "lncRNA (ENSSSCG00055017577.1)". Lineage: Eukaryota; Metazoa; Chordata; Mammalia; Artiodactyla; Suidae. The record is from RNAcentral.